AACGAACGCUGGCGGCAUGCCUAACACAUGCAAGUCGAACGAGACCUUCGGGUCUAGUGGCGCACGGGUGCGUAACGCGUGGGAACCUGCCCUUAGGUUCGGAAUAACUCCCCGAAAGGGGUGCUAAUACCGGAUAAUGUCUUCGGACCAAAGAUUUAUCGCCUUUGGAUGGGCCCGCGUUGGAUUAGCUAGUUGGUAGGGUAAAAGCCUACCAAGGCGACGAUCCAUAGCUGGUCUGAGGAUGAUCAGCCACACUGGGACUGAGACACGGCCCAGACUCCUACGGGAGGCAGCAGUAGGGAAUAUUGGACAAUGGGCGAAAGCCUGAUCCAGCAAUGCCGCGUGAGUGAUGAAGGCCUUAGGGUUGUAAAGCUCUUUUACCCGGGAUGAUAAUGACAGUACCGGGAGAAUAAGCUCCGGCUAACUCCGUG
Molecule: ribosomal RNA, 431 nt
Filed under: uncultured bacterium
Lineage: Bacteria
Description: partial 16S ribosomal RNA
Rfam family: Bacterial small subunit ribosomal RNA
Source: RNAcentral